Molecule: non-coding RNA, 72 nt
Organism: Platichthys flesus (European flounder)
Lineage: Eukaryota; Metazoa; Chordata; Actinopteri; Pleuronectiformes; Pleuronectidae
Source: the annotation of a RefSeq genome assembly
UCCCUGAUGGUCUAGUUGCUAGGAUUCGGCGCUUUCACCGCCGCGGCCCGGGUUCGAUCCCCGGUCAGGGAA